GACGAACGCUGGCGGCGUGCUUAACACAUGCAAGUCGAACGCUGAAGCUCAGCUUUUGUUGGGUGGAUGAGUGGCGAACGGGUGAGUAACACGUGAGUAGCCUGCCCCCUUCUUUGGGAUAACGCCCGGAAACGGGUGCUAAUACUGGAUAUUCACUGGUCUUCGCAUGGGGGUUGGUGGAAAGGGUUUUUCUGGUGGGGGAUGGGCUCGCGGCCUAUCAGCUUGUUGGUGGGGUGAUGGCCUACCAAGGCUUUGACGGGUAGCCGGCCUGAGAGGGUGACCGGUCACAUUGGGACUGAGAUACGGCCCAGACUCCUACGGGAGGCAGCAGUGGGGAAUAUUGCACAAUGGGCGCAAGCCUGAUGCAGCGACGCCGCGUGAGGGAUGGAGGCCUUCGGGUUGUGAACCUCUUUCGCUCAUGGUCAAGCCGCAACAAUGGUUGUGGUGAGGGUAGUGGGUAAAGAAGCGCCGGCUAACUACGUG
This 483-nucleotide ribosomal RNA is filed under the name uncultured bacterium. RNAcentral describes it as "partial 16S ribosomal RNA". It matches the Rfam family "Bacterial small subunit ribosomal RNA", at positions 28 to 507 of the family's 1533-position model. The record is from RNAcentral.